UACGGAGGGGGCUAGCGUUGUUCGGAAUUACUGGGCGUAAAGCGCACGUAGGCGGCUUUGUAAGUUAGAGGUGAAAGCCCGGGGCUCAACUCCGGAAUUGCCUUUAAGACUGCAUCGCUAGAAUUGUGGAGAGGUAAGUGGAAUUCCGAGUGUAGAGGUGAAAUUCGUAGAUAUUCGGAGGAACACCAGUGGCGAAGGCGGCUCACUGGCUCGGUACUGACGCUGAGGUGCGAAAGCGUGGGGAGCAAACAGG
RNAcentral lists this ribosomal RNA (253 nucleotides) under uncultured bacterium. Its description in RNAcentral is "partial 16S ribosomal RNA". It matches the Rfam family "Bacterial small subunit ribosomal RNA", at positions 524 to 776 of the family's 1533-position model. The record is from RNAcentral.